GAAAUGCGAUAAGUAAUGUGAAUUGCAGAAUUCAGUGAAUCAUCGAAUCUUUGAACGCACCUUGCGCUCCUUGGUAUUCCGAGGAGCAUGCCUGUUUAAGUGUCAUGAAACCCUCAAUCGUAAGUUUUGAAUUUGGAUACAGACUCGAGUUUGGAUUUGGAUGUUUGCCGGUGAUGAACCGACUCAUCUUAAAAGUAUUAGCUUGGAUCUGUCUAUAUGACUGGUUUGACUUGGCAUAAUAAGUAUUUUGCUGAGGACAUCUUCGGAUGGCCAGGACCUAGACUACUGUCUGCUAACUAAACCAUCACUUUGAGUGCAUUUUUGGAUGUUACUCAUUGUGUAACUUUCACAUCUGGCCUCAAAUCAAGUAGGACUACCCGCUGAACUUAA
RNAcentral lists this unclassified non-coding RNA (390 nucleotides) under uncultured fungus. RNAcentral describes it as "sequence contains ITS1". The stretch from base 1 to 105 matches the Rfam family "5.8S ribosomal RNA", at positions 50 to 154 of the family's 154-position model. The record is from RNAcentral. Lineage: Eukaryota; Fungi.